This 326-nucleotide ribosomal RNA is filed under the name uncultured bacterium. Its description in RNAcentral is "bacterial SSU rRNA". It matches the Rfam family "Bacterial small subunit ribosomal RNA", at positions 1180 to 1506 of the family's 1533-position model. The record is from RNAcentral.
AGACGUCAAUCAUCAUGCCCCUUAUGUCCUGGGCUACACACGUAAUACAAUGGCGGUCAACAGAGGGAAGCAAAGCCGCGAGGCGGAGCAAAUCCCCAAAAGUCGUCUCAGUUCGGAUUGCAGGCUGAAACCCGCCUGCAUGAAGUUGGAAUUGCUAGUAAUCGCGGAUCAGCAUGCCGCGGUGAAUACGUUCCCGGGCCUUGUACACACCGCCCGUCACACCAUGAGAGUCGGGAACACCCGAAGUCCGUAGUCUAACCGCAAGGAGGGCGCGGCCGAAGGUGGGUUCGAUAAUUGGGGUGAAGUCGUAAAGGGGUAACCGUAGA